GAUUCUGCCCUACGGGGAAGGAUGAGAAGCUUCGACUAAGGUUCGACUCGAGCGCCAGCAAGAGAACGUUGCCAAGGGCAACGGCCCGAAGGGCGAGGAGCGAUAGCGACGAGUUAUCCUUCCCCCACCACCA
RNAcentral lists this small RNA (133 nucleotides) under Klebsiella variicola. RNAcentral describes it as "RtT sRNA". It matches the Rfam family "RtT RNA". From Rfam's summary of the family: This family represents a bacterial cis-regulatory element known as RtT RNA. The exact function of RtT is unknown although it is thought that it may be involved in changing the cellular response in relation to amino acid starvation. Lineage: Bacteria; Pseudomonadati; Pseudomonadota; Gammaproteobacteria; Enterobacterales; Enterobacteriaceae. The record is from RNAcentral.